AGAGAGAGAAUGGUCUGUUACUGUGGGAGACCGACACACUCACCAGGAGGUCCAUUUGCAUGGGCUGUAAUUUGAUUCUUGGUUGCCAAGACCACGAGGCGUGCCGAGAGGUGCGAGCGGUGCUAACGACAGCCGUGUCUGCAAGCCUCCAAAGUAUCCUCCAGAGUUCUGCUAAAUGCCAAAAGGCCACAUUAGCAUUUUAAAAAGCGACAUAAAAAAAAUAUGACUUUCCCCUCACUGAGUAGCCACUGAUAAAGGAUAAUUUAUCUGGACUGUGCUUCAUACAAAACAAUAAAGCACAAAAUAAAAAAUGACACGGUCGUAACAAGGGGGAGAUUAACUUUAUGGAAAUGAGCGCCAUUGUUGCAGAGAAGUCUUUUUUUUACAUAAGUGAAUUGAAAUGAUAAAAAAUCAAGCUAACAAAAAUACUAAAAUAUUACUUUUCACUUAAUUUAAGCAGAAAGCCGCAGGUAGUGGGCGACCCUAUGCCGCCCCACUUCUUGUGUAAAGUUUUCACUUUGAACUAAAACAAGGGAGUUGAGCCCUGAGCUGCCUUGGGCUGGCCUUUUGGGCUAGGUGUGUCUUUGCAUUAAUCCCGCCCACUCGAUUGACCCUGCUGCCCUGGAGCUGGCAAGGAAGUGAAAGUCACUUCCAACCUUAUGUUACAGCCACCAGAAACAAACAGGGAAGACGAAGCCAACAAGCAUCAUUCUCGGUUCUUAAAUCUAAAUCAACUCAUCUCCAAAAGAGAAAAAGAAGCAACAAAAAGACUGCUCAUGACCAAUCCAGAAACCGGAUAAAUAUUGGAAUACAUUUUGGAAGGUGGAAGAGUGAAGCUGAAAUGAACACCGUUCUCAUGGACUGGUAAUGUUAGGACAAUACUGGUGGACACUGAUUUUGAGGGAACCUGAGGCUGUACAAGUGGUGGUUUUGCAAACCCCAACACUGAAAGAGAAUGCAUUUUUUGUUAUGCUUUGUGAUUCAAUAAUUAUUUUGUUGGUAAUUGGCCAAAAUAUACUGAACAAAAUACAAACUCAACAUGUAAAGUGUUGGUCCCAUGUUUCAUGAGCAGAAAUAAAAUAUCCCAGAA
Molecule: long non-coding RNA, 1090 nt
Filed under: Salmo trutta (river trout)
Lineage: Eukaryota; Metazoa; Chordata; Actinopteri; Salmoniformes; Salmonidae
Description: lncRNA (ENSSTUG00000040509.1)
Source: RNAcentral